GGGCCCGUAGCUCAGCAAGGCAGAGCAGCGGACUCUUAAUCCGUAGGUCGCGGGUUCAAUUCCCGUCGGGCCCGCCA
This 77-nucleotide transfer RNA is filed under the name Candidatus Bathyarchaeota archaeon. RNAcentral describes it as "tRNA-Lys". It matches the Rfam family "tRNA". From Rfam's summary of the family: Transfer RNA (tRNA) molecules are approximately 80 nucleotides in length. The record is from RNAcentral. Lineage: Archaea; Thermoproteati; Candidatus Bathyarchaeota. RNAcentral also lists the same sequence under 4 other names.